AGUAUUAUAGUUUAAUAAAAAUAUUAAAUUGCAAAUUUAAAGAUAGAAAAUUUCUUAAUACUU
Molecule: transfer RNA, 63 nt
Filed under: Eretes sticticus
Lineage: Eukaryota; Metazoa; Arthropoda; Insecta; Coleoptera; Dytiscidae
Description: tRNA-Cys
Rfam family: tRNA
About the family: Transfer RNA (tRNA) molecules are approximately 80 nucleotides in length.
Source: RNAcentral